RNAcentral lists this transfer RNA (72 nucleotides) under Ovis aries (sheep). It matches the Rfam family "tRNA". Rfam says of the family: Transfer RNA (tRNA) molecules are approximately 80 nucleotides in length. Their secondary structure includes four short double-helical elements and three loops (D, anti-codon, and T loops). Lineage: Eukaryota; Metazoa; Chordata; Mammalia; Artiodactyla; Bovidae. The record is from Rfam by way of RNAcentral.
UUCCUGGUGGCUGAGUGGUAAAGAAUCUGCCUGCCAAUGCAGGAGACACAAGUUCAAACCCUGACCUGGGAG